CAAUAAAUAACUUAAGUAAAAAAGUAAUGAUCUUUUAAAUCAUUUAUAAUAAAAUAUUAUUUUUAUUGU
Molecule: transfer RNA, 69 nt
Filed under: Ismarus sp. ZJUH_2016020
Lineage: Eukaryota; Metazoa; Arthropoda; Insecta; Hymenoptera; Diapriidae
Description: tRNA-Lys
Source: RNAcentral